Molecule: transfer RNA, 75 nt
Filed under: Pseudomonadota bacterium
Lineage: Bacteria; Pseudomonadati; Pseudomonadota
Also listed under: 3 other names
Description: tRNA-Ala
Rfam family: tRNA
About the family: Transfer RNA (tRNA) molecules are approximately 80 nucleotides in length. Their secondary structure includes four short double-helical elements and three loops (D, anti-codon, and T loops).
Source: RNAcentral
GGGGCCGUAGCUCAGCGGGAGAGCGCUGCCUUCGCACGGCAGAGGUCGUGGGUUCAAAUCCCAUCGGCUCCACCA